GAGUUUGAUCGUGGCUCAGGAUGAACGCUGGCGGCGUGCCUAAUACAUGCAAGUCGAGCGGUAAGGUCCCUUCGGGGAUACACGAGCGGCGGACGGGUGAGUAACGCGUAAGAAUGUACCCCAAACUGAGGGAUAAGCACCAGAAAUGGUGUCUAAUACCGCAUGUGCUCUUCGGAGUAAAGCUACGGCGGUUUGGGAACAGCUUGCGUAGGAUUAGCUAGUUGGUAAGGUAAUGGCUUACCAAGGCGACGAUCCUUAGCUGGUCUGAGAGGAUGAUCAGCCACACUGGGACUGAGACACGGCCCAGACUCCUACGGGAGGCAGCAGUAGGGAAUUUUCCACAAUGGGGGCAACCCUGAUGGAGCAACGCCGCGUGCAGGAUGAAGGCUUUCGGGUCGUAAACUGCUUUUGUCUGUGACGAAUAUGACGGUAGCAGACGAAUAAGGAUCGGCUAACUACGUGCCAGCAGCCGCCGU
Molecule: ribosomal RNA, 476 nt
Filed under: uncultured bacterium
Lineage: Bacteria
Description: bacterial SSU rRNA
Rfam family: Bacterial small subunit ribosomal RNA
Source: RNAcentral